Anopheles funestus (African malaria mosquito) is the source of this 8432-nucleotide long non-coding RNA. RefSeq lists it as uncharacterized. The record is from RefSeq and is a predicted model, not a curated record. Lineage: Eukaryota; Metazoa; Arthropoda; Insecta; Diptera; Culicidae. The transcript has 2 exons.
AAGAUCUCUGUUAAAAAAAGGAAGAGAAAAAAAACAGUUUAUGAAAAUUUGAUGCUGUCCUUUCGUUUUUUUACCUUAAGGACAGAUAAGUAUGACGAAUGGUAAUGCAAAAUUUUUUGAUUAGAUUAAACUUUCUGGUCCGUCUGUCCACUGAAAGCUGACGGAACAAGGACACGUUUCGUACAUGAUGCUGUCCCACCUCCCCCACGGGUUCGUACGAUGAACUUUCGUUCCGCGACAAAAUCGCGCAAUAGUCGAAGUUUGCCGAAUACUGGCCCAUACUGGAUACGUCCUCAAGCACCAACAAACCAGAGCGGGGGAAAAAACAUGGUAGAAAGUUUUUUAAUCGAAACUGCUACUACUGCUCCCGCAAUGACGAAAUGUUUGAUUUAUUCAGCGGAAAAAAGUGGAUAUGAAGUUCGGGACAUAACUCGCGAACUACCACGGGAUGCUUGCAACAAACAUUUUCCAUCAAAUUAUAUCCUUUGACCUAUGAGAUACCAUCACCCGGAACUGUGUUUCCAAUGGGGUUUUUUUUUGUUGGGGGUUUUUGUUUUCGGACACGGACAGUAGCGGAAGCGUGAUGCGCUUCAUUCGAAAGGGCCAACUUUUAAUAACCGGGUUAGAAGUUGUAAAUCGAUUUGAGUUAAGCGAAGCGGUAAAGUUACGGCUGCUUCCUGUUGUUGGCCACGCCACUGUUAGAUGGGGUUGGAAAGAUGGUAAACAUCAGCACACCAAAAAUGUUGACCUCCGGUUGUAGAAUGUUUUUUUUUUUGCGAUAUCCAAGGGAGAGGGAAAGGACCCAGACAGGAGUGAGUGAGUUAAGCUAAAAAGCGUAGCAAAUAGAGUUUACUUAAGCGACAGUUUUUGGUGAAAAUUGAAUCUACUUUCACCAUGGAGUUUUUGCUCCACCAAGGAAAAAUGUUCUAUUGGAAAUAGUGAUGGGCGUGUCGAUUCCAACCUAUCGAGUCGGAGAAAUCCAAAAGCGACCCGAUCCGGUUCGGGUAGAACUGUCGAUUCAAGUACCAGAAGGUGUAAGACCGACUCCGACCUGUGGGUGCAACGAGUUCGGAUCGAACUCAGGUUGAAGUAGGUUCAGUAGGUGCAACGAUUCCGAUGUGCAACUAGGAGUCCGGAUCGGACUCGGAUCGAUUCAGUACGGAGAUUCAGUAGGUGCAACGAUUCCGGUAGGUGGGUGCAGCGAGUUCGGAUCGGACUCAGGUCGAAGUAGGUUCAGUAGGUCUAGUAAGUGCAAGUUACCAUAAGCGACUUCGACCCGUGUGUGAAACGAGUUCGGAUCGCACUCGGGUCCAAAUAGAUUCAGUAGGUUCAGUAGGUCAUAAGCGACUCCGAUUCGUGGGUGCAGCGAGUUCGAGUCGGAACUACUGAACCUCCUUAAAUUUGCGGGUCGACACGAACCCGUUGCACCCACGUAUAGAGGUCAAUUCCGAUUCUGCUGCACCCGACUUUGUGUCGAGUCAUGAAAUAAAUCGUAUGACCCAUCACUAAUUGGAAUUAUCGGAAUUCUGCAACCAGAUUUACUUCGUCUGGAGAACUUCUUCCAAUUUUUAUUCAAGCAUCCUGAUUAGGUUAAGGUUUACUUACAUAAUAACUCACCUAAAGUCCUUCUACCCUCUGAAAAAUUCCUAUCAGAAAAACAAUCGAACCAUCAGCAAUUAAUGUGGGAUUUUCCACGACAAAGAAGGGCUCUGUUCGGAGCUUUGUCCCGCUUCGUUAAAACACAACAAAUCCCUCCGAUUGACGAAACACGUGUAUAACCGUUUGCGCUUGUCAGCGUGUGAAGCUACUAUAAUACAUAUACUACCUUUUCACUGGCUGCAAUCUGUUUUAUUUUACUUUCCGUUGUGUUUACGCUGUCUGCUAUCCGUCCUUGCUGUAUCCCGACCGGCUCAUGGUGGAUCAGUAGAUUUACGAACGGUAGCGUGGAAAACUUCAUGACGUUCGUGAAAGCAUGUGAGACAUUCCAUCUUCGAGGAAAAUCGCUUUUCCUUUUGUACCUGCUUCUUGAAACCAUGGUUGGCGAAGAAGUUUUCCACGACGAUUUUCUUCUCCGUCGGUGCGAUUUUCUUAGGAAGCUUUCGGUGGUUCAGCAGCAUCAACCAACGAAAGCAAGCGAUGAUCAGGGGUUUUUCGUGUCACCUGCACUACUACUGAAGGUUACUCUAGGAAAGGGUGUUUUUUUUGCUUCUUCUGCUGGGUUUGAAGUCAAUUUUUCUAGUCGCUUCUAAAAGUGCUGUGUGUUGAACGACCUGGAAACGCUUGGUUGGUUGCGUCUGAUGCGGGUUCACACUUCGCCAUUGCCACGUGACAUACACGCACAGCCGUAUCUUUCGGCUUUUAAUGAAGUGCAGCAUGUUGUGUUCGUCAUCAGCAGCAGCAAAAACAGGGGGGAUGCCGCUAAGGGGGAAAAAUGUCAAUGUACGACAGCGACGAUCGCGCGCGCCGGUACGUUGUUUCCGUGUUGGGAGUUAAUUUCAUCGACAAACAGUAAACACACAUCCGUUCCGGGUGCUCCGUUUCGAUACGGAGGGGGCGUAAUAGAAUGGUCCAUUGCCAGUCCACAAUAACGCCUGUUUCUGGCACGCAUCAUCAUCGGUGGAACGUUAAAGAACAAGCAUGAAAAAAGUGGAAAGAUAGAUGCGUUCGAUCGAGCGGGGCAAUACAGAGAACUGGAGAGAAAACAACCUUCCAUUCGGGUGACGCCUAACAGAUGUGCUGUUAAAAGCCGAUAUUGAUUAGGUUCUUACAGCGGCUCUCGUGUCGUUAUGAACUGCAAAUAACAACAGACUUUCGUACGUAUAUAGGGCGCAACGGGUGACUGGAGAAGAGAUGCGAGUGACAAAAAAAAACAGACGAGACCUAAUCCAAAUGUCACUCGGAACAAGGGUGGUAGCCGAUGGAAGCUAAUGGAACAUGUGGCAUACGGUACGGUACGGUUGUGAUGAGCAGGAUCGAACUAAUGGUCCCUCUGAGGGUCGUGGGCUGUUAUGGGUGCUUUUUAACGGAACCGUAGGAAGUGUUCGGUUUGAAUGUUUACCAAUUUUAGAGCCCGCUUAUGUAUGUUUCCUCCCCUAGCGAUUAUUUUCGGAACGUUGUGGGCGAAAAAAAAAUGAAGAAAAUAAACUCGUAAGCUGGUGAAUAGGGAAAGCACCGAGCCGAACACGCACUUUGGCUGGGUAUGAGUUUCAAUCAGUGUUUUUAAUGAAAUUAAUAUCUGUUUUUCGAGCAUCAAAAAUCUCGAAAUCUGGCCGCUGCUAAGUGAUACGUGGAACAAAAAAGGAUGUUUCGUGUUCUGGUAAUGGUACAAAAAGCAAUUCCGUUGAUUCGUUUCUUGUUAAAAAUAAUUAAUGGAAAAUAUACAAAUUCACCAUUUGUUUUACACGCAUUUAUAAUUACUUUCACUUUCGAUGAAGCAGCAAAAAAAAAAAUCUGCAACACACCACCACUGUCCCGGAUGUGUGUUAUAUUAUUGAUUGGAAGGGUAAACAACCAGUACAAAAAUCGAACCGAACAAAAUGUAGUACUAAAAAGUGGUUUGCUUUUGCAUGGUGUGAUGGGAAAGCCCAAAUCCGUUCCGUUGUUAUCGGAACAUCGGUUUAUAAUGUGGAGUAACCUACCGAGUAAGCUGCUUGUUCCGGGUGAACAGGAAAGAUGGACCCAGUCUGGGCCUGGUUCCGUUUUUUUUUCAUACCCUUCUCCUCUGUAUUUCGCCCCAAAACAUUGUUACUUCUUGCUUCACGAACUCUUUCGGAGGCGAAAAAGCCGAGAGCCGUUGUCUAGUCAUGGAUGGUUUGUUUUUAUUGGCAUGUGUACCCUACUGUUGUCCGUUCGUCUUCGAUUUCAUUCGUUUCAUUUCGUCCUGUUGCAGCUCUCGAUGUCCCUCGGUGUGUGCGUUCAGACGAGAGUCACAAGAGCACAUGUUGAGUGCCUGUUGGGCAGAAUGUUGUUUCCGAUUUAAAGCAAACAUCCUUUUUCCCCUGUCCUGUCCCCAGGGGCAGGGCACCAGCUGUGGGCAGACGAUCACAAUGAGCACCGAAAGAGAAGAGCUGGUCCUCAUUGAACAUGUUGCAGAAAAUGAAUACUCAUCGGCCACGGCAUAGGAUACAUAUGCCUGUAAUCCUUCCGCUUCAUCCAUUUUCCACCGGGGGGAAUGUUUGUGUUUGAAAGAAGCUUAUGAUUCUUGCUGGGUGCUGCUGGUGAUGAUUCGGUCCGGAACCGAACACAAUUGAAACUUGGUCCGAAAGAAGAAAGGAGGAAAAAAAAGAAAGAUCCCCAGACGCAUGUGAAGUUGUGCAGCUUUAGGAAGGAAACACACAUGCCACAAAACUGCUUCAAAGAAUGCUCGAAGCACCACUCUCUUGCUCAAGACGAUUCCACUUUCUUACUCGAGCACGAUGGAUAGCCACUUGCGCUGUGAAGAGGUUUUUGGGAACUUUGAUGCAGCUUAAACAUAGAGAAAGAAUACGUCCUCUCCUGGACUUCUGGACGAUUCAACAACCAGACCCUGCGGCGGCAACGACUCCCCAGUAAAAAAAUGGGGAGCAAACGAAGAUGAAGAGCGUAACGAUAAUAAAGUAAUCAGUAUAUAAUUCCACAUACUUGGCACCAGAUGGCUCACAGCUUUUGGGGUUAGUUUAUGACCGUUGUUGCUUGCGGAAGAUAAAGUUUUACGAAUCAUUCUGUCCAAGUUGGUCGUAUUGGUGUGUGAGUUGGUUGGAAUGAGAGUUGAGUCUGGCAGGAUGCAUGCAGUUUUUUCCCCACAUUCUUUCUUUGUUUCUAAACAAACUAAAGGGUGGGAAGUUCAAUGCAGUACUAAGCUCAUCUUUCAGGAUACUUACUGCCAUGCAGUAGAGCCUUUGGGGCUAGCUUUUCCCAUUGCCCAGAUCCUGUUUGAUCCUUUCCUAUUGGAACCAUAAUCGUACCACACACAAUCGAUGCGUCGUAGCAAUGCGAAUGGACGAGAACUUGUUGUACUGAUAUCUAUUCGAAGUUGGGCGAAUACUGGGAAUAGUCGACGAAAAGAGGCUUUCAGCUAAAUUGGGAAUACAAGUACAUUCCUCGUGUCUUUCUCUAACGAAGUCAAAUGCUCCCUGCGAACGGUCUUCUUUGUGGAUGAUCUAGCCUCCCCCACGUGAAUGCUUCCUCCGUUUUAUCGGAGAGCUUUUAAUUAAACGUCUAAAUCCUGUGUGUUCUUCAACGUGAAUCCUCUACAGCACACGAACCUAACGUCCAACCGAUCUACGGAUAGCUUCUCCGUUAAGCUGAUUAGAUUCCAUUCGCUAAAAUCCUCCAUUUUUUUUGUCUCUCUUCUUGCUCUCGUUACAGGUAGGCGAACAGGGUAGUACCGACACGUUUGGAUCGGUUUCCAGUAUGACUUCGUUUGUUCGUUUCGGAUUAGAACUUGAAGGGUCGGGCGACUCCAUUACCGCAUACGGUACUGUGCGACGACCCUCACCAGGGGAAAGCAUUUCGAUGACGUAUUAGUGGUCUUUCUCCAUCGUCGCCGUCGGUCGGAGACUGGGAGGCAACGAAGCGCAGCGAACCGGUAACAACACUCCAACGCACCACGAACAGCCCGUGUGACAUUUCAGCGGGACCAUGGAUGGAUGGUUCCGCGCUGUAAAGUGACGUUGGACGUUCCUUCGUUCGCAACAAUGGCAUCGUGCAAAUGGGAAGGUGAAAUAUGCCUUUGUUUUUGAGUUUCAGCUCAACUACACACGCGCGGUGUACCGGGAUAGGGCGUACUAGCAUCGACAGACCCGCGGUACCAUCAAUACUGUCCACACCCGGUACCGUGUUGCUGCAAUGUCCGGAAACGCGUCGGAGCCAGGCAUUCAUGAUGAUGGUUGGUUGUGCUAAAGCCACACCGAUUCUGCCACAGAUGAGUGCGGGAAGGCAACGAACCAUGGCGAAGAGUGAAGAUGCAAAAAAAAACAACGAAAUGUUUAAUAAUGAAACCCAUUGUGUAGUGUGGUCGAUUUUUCUUGCGCCGGUGUAUUCAUGGACCGGGAAAGUUGUUGUUCAAGACAAAAUAUGGCACAACUUGUACACCGGCUCUUGUGCCAUUCGAUGCCUUUUUCUCUGCAGAUGCGUUGAAGGAGGUGGAGCUUCCCCUCGUGGCCAAAAUAUGAAUGCGUAAUCGGGUAAACUAUUUCCUGCACUUUGCCACCCUACCUCCCAACAUAUUCCCAUCAAAAGAAGUUUGGUUGAGUAGCCUGGACAUUUUUUCUUCUCCGUGUGCUUCCUUCAAGACACUGCUUAACGAUCGUAGUGUGGUAUACGAAAAGUACGAGUGGCCGUGGGUUAUUCUCCCAACUCCCAACCCCUUCUCACCCUAAUGCCACAUUUUCCUAGUGUGCUUUUCUAUUCACCAAAGUUUUAGUGAGUGGGGGUGGAAAGUUUUCGGAAAGCUAUAAAAAGCAUUCCUUCCCCUAGGGGGGCGAACGGUUUUCCGAAGAGUUGUUGAGCUGCCUUUAUGGAUUAAGUUUUGUUUAAUUAGGUUAACCGGGCACAGGUGGAAUUUUGCAGCUAGUUUUACCUUUCCGGCAUCGGAUCGGGGCACGAGGGUGGUUGGCUGAUUUCCGUUACGCCCCCACGGUAGGACGAUGACUUUAUUCUCGAGAGCCGUGCUGCAAAAGGAUUGUUUUGCAGAUACAGGUAGAUCAUGAAAGUUUGGCUUUUCAACUGGCGUGGGAUUAAAUAGGAAAUCGGAGGAGUUUAUCAUGGGGAGUCAUUUGAAAAACAUAGGAGGAGAGAGACACAGGAGUGUAAGUUGGUGUGCGGGAGAAUUGGCUUUGGUUUCAGAGAUUUUUAUAACCAAAACAUAUUUUGAUGCUCUUUGACGUUUAAAGUUUUUUGAUUGACAGCUUUCAGAUUGAUAAACAAUUUCAAUGGUUAUAGCAGGCGUUGAAAGUUUUUGAAAGACGUCCAUUUUGCAAGCUUCUGUUCGAAAAGCUUAGCGAGAAAAGUUUAAUAAUUUUUAAUUUUAGUGCAUAAAUAAGGAAUAUUAAUUUUUAUUUUUUGAGAAUGGAAUAUAUUUUAAAAACUCUGUCAUACUUGCCCUUCAUGUCCAUGAUCAUCACCGGAAAGUAUUUCCCGGUUUUUAGCUUUUUUGUUUUGUUGUCCUUGCGUAUCGUUUCCCUUCAAAACGUUAAACCGAUUGUGUGAGUUAGCAAGACCUUACAAUGUCUACCACCCUGAUACCUUUACCAUCUCGAAAAAAAAACACAACACAAAAACAUGACAUUAUCAAAAAGGGUCUUCGCGGUUGAGUGCGCUGGUCCAUGUGUUCCGUACCGGUAAGUUUGUGUUCGAGCUUUUUUUGUGUGUGUGUUGUUUUACUGUUACUUUAACAACCCCUUCCGGCUGAAGGUCGUAAGCUCUCUUGCCUCCGGUAUCGAUUUGCUCAUCCUACACACCUUCCUUCACCACUUCAUCGAAAAAAGGAAGCGACCGGAUACGUACGCUUCGACUGCAUUGCAUACAACACGCACCAUUCACAAAGCGGAACACGCGGAUGGGUUGGGUUAUAUGGGGAAGGAAGGCUUUCGACAAGGCGACGGUCGAGAUGUCGAAAAUCGUCCGCGCUAAUGGUUCGCCACACCCGGCCCGCGGUACUGUUUAGCAUUGUUAAUGUUGCUUGGUUUUUGAAUGGUUUUUGAUGUUUAUUUUUCGGCUUCUUUUGGGCCGUGCGCUCGGUUUUUGUUGGUGCAUGAAAACGAGCCGAAAAAUUGGUGAAGAGGUUACACACUGCGGAAUGAGUCAAUUAGGGCGCGCGUUCCUUUUCCACAAGAAGAUGGGCUAUUCAGCGAAGGAUGGAAUUUGUGGUACAAGCGCAAACAAGUAGGAAGCCUGUGGCAAUUUGACAAUUUCGCCUAACACUGUUAUACUGUUAUACACCCCCCCGGGGGGAAAGAGUGCAGAAAGCUGGGAAGAAGAGUGGACCUGUCAACAGAAUUGAGGUUUUUUGGAACAAGUGGUUUGUCCAAAGUUAAGCGAAUGUUGGUUUGAAAUUGAAUUAUGCAACGCGUUUUAAUUGAAUUGAUUUCCAUAUCGGUCUUUGGUGGUUGUGGGUUUUUUUCCACGUGUAUACCAGCUUUCCCCCUUUAUACUCAGGCAAAAAUGUAAAUGUUUUGCAAUUUAUUCACGAAUCAAACAUAAUUCAAUUUUGCCGAAGGGUAUUCAUAAGACUGUUCUAAAGUUUUCUAAUCAUAUUCAAGAAAAUUUUCCCUCCCUCCCGCUUGUGAUGAUUCGAUCGUGCCUUAGUCGUUAGACCGCUGGUUCGAAAUCAUCAUGUUCUGGUGAUGGCAUAAUUUAUUUUAUUCCCCCCAAAAAAAGCAAACAAAAACGGUUUGUUUUGGGUAAAUUUUUGUAAACCUCUUUAGCAAAACAUUAUCUUUCCUUUUUGGCUG